CUACGGGAGGCAGCAGUGAGGAAUAUUGGUCAAUGGGCGCAAGCCUGAACCAGCCAAGUCGCGUGAGGGAAGACGGUCCUAUGGAUUGUAAACCUCUUUUGUCAGGGAGCAAGUGCCGGACGAGUCCGGACAUUGAGAGUACCAGAAGAAAAAGCAUCGGCUAACUCCGUGCCAGCAGCCGC
This 182-nucleotide ribosomal RNA is filed under the name uncultured bacterium. Its description in RNAcentral is "partial 16S ribosomal RNA". It matches the Rfam family "Bacterial small subunit ribosomal RNA", at positions 339 to 518 of the family's 1533-position model. The record is from RNAcentral.